GACGAACGCUGGCGGCGUGCUUAACACAUGCAAGUCGAACGGUAAGGCCCUUCGGGGUACACGAGUGGCGAACGGGUGAGUAACACGUGGGCGAUCUGCCCUGCACUUCGGGAUAAGCCUGGGAAACUGGGUCUAAUACCAGAUAGGACUCCUGGCUUCAUGGUUGGGGGUGGAAAGCUUUUGCGGUGUGGGAUGGGCCCGCGGCCUAUCAGCUUGUUGGUGGGGUAAUGGCCUACCAAGGCGACGACGGGUAGCCGGCCUGAGGGGGUGACCGGUCACACUGGGACUGAGAUACGGCCCAGACUCCUACGGGAGGCAGCAGUGGGGAAUAUUGCACAAUGGGCGCAAGCCUGAUGCAGCGACGCCGCGUGAGGGAUGACGGCCUUCGGGUUGUAAACCUCUUUCAGCAUCGACGAAGCGAAAGUGACGGUAGGUGCAGAAGAAGGACCGGCCAACUACGUGCCAGCCGCCGCAGUAA
Molecule: ribosomal RNA, 478 nt
Filed under: uncultured bacterium
Lineage: Bacteria
Description: partial 16S ribosomal RNA
Rfam family: Bacterial small subunit ribosomal RNA
Source: RNAcentral